RNAcentral lists this ribosomal RNA (407 nucleotides) under uncultured bacterium. Its description in RNAcentral is "partial 16S ribosomal RNA". It matches the Rfam family "Bacterial small subunit ribosomal RNA", at positions 30 to 526 of the family's 1533-position model. The record is from RNAcentral.
AUUGAACGCUGGCGGCAGGCCUAACACAUGCAAGUCGAGCGGAGCGGCGGACGGGUGAGGAAGGCCUAGGAAUCUGCCUGGGCGUGGGGGAUAACGUCCGGAAACGGGAGCUAAUACCGCUACCUAUCAGCUGAGCCUAGGUCGGAUUAGCUAGUGGGUGGGGUAAGGGCCUACAAAGGCGACGAUCCGUAACUGGUCUGAGAGGAUGAUCAGUCACACUGGAACUGAGACACGGUCCAGACUCCUACGGGAGGCAGCAGUGGGGAAUAUUGGACAAUGGGCGAAAGCCUGAUCCAGCCAUGCCGCGUGUGUGAAGAAGGUCUUCGGAUUGUAAAGCACUUUAAGUUGGGAGGCGUUACCCACAGAAUAAGCACCGGCUAACUUCGUGCCAGCAGCCGCGGUAAUUC